AUGUACUUUCGACUCUACUUGGUGGUACACUUUUGAAGCCCUAUCAGGUUAAGAGUUAAAAUAUUUUAUUUUCUCAUCCAGUUUAUAAGGUUUCUUUCUUUCUUUCUUUUCUUUUCUUCUUUUUUUUUUUUUUUUCUUUUUGGACAAAAGCUAAUGAGGAUACUUACACUUUUAGCAUUUUUUAGUUAAAUUACAUGGGCAAAUGAUUUUUUUUUAAAUUUCCUCUUUGAUGAGUAUUUGAUAAGUUAGUUAAGGCAUUUUCUUGCAUAAAGCUGUUGUAGCCACACAUUCUGGGAAACAAACUCACUCAGAAGGGCAAUGCAGAUAGUGCAGUCCAGUUAAUUACACCGGUAGGCCCAAGACAGAGUCUUCUCUUAGCCAGGGAUCCUGAUCAGUUUUUGUGAAAACCUUAUAUACCCUAAGUGUACAUGCUCAAACCCACCUCCCAAAACUCUCAAAAACUAGUCUGAACAAAGGAAAAGAAAGAUAACAAUCAAAGCAUGAUCCCUAUGCCUCAAACCUGUGUUUCAUAUGCCUUAGCCUAGGUAGUUAACAGUGGACAACUAUCAAUAGGCCUGUGGUCAUACCUCAAUAAGCAUAAUAGAAUUUAUGAUUCUAUUCAGUUACACAGAUAAUUAAGGUAUUCUUUUAGGCAUUGGAGAGUCUAGGUAUGAGCCCUGGGGCUCUUCCCUCCUGGGGGUCUGGUUUUCCAGCUGGUAUGUCGUUUCCAUAGAUACUGGGCGUAUAGUUCCAAGUCCACAGUCUGGCCCAAGAUGGAGUCCUGCUUUCAAGAUGGAGCCUGUUCUGUUUGUUUCCUCCUUCAAAGUAAACAAAGAUUUGCCUAAAACAAAAAUUAUGUGUUAGAGUUCUGAAAAUGGUCUCUCUGAGCAAUUACGUGGUGAAUUAGCAAGCAUCCCAAAUAAGCCACGAAUGCUAAGCCAUUGGACAAGAGGAUUUUAAAGAGCAAAGAAAAACAGGAAACUAUCAAAGGAGAAAAAGCACAUCUUGACUGUGGAAAUCAUAUUGAAACACUGAAGUGCUUACUCGUGCUGCUGCUGUCAGUCAUACUCGUCACACUUAGUGACUGUCCUCAAUCCAAGCGGAAAACCCAUUCUCAGUUAACGUGGAUCAGUUGGAAAGAAAAUAAACCACUCUGCUGCUCUGAAGACAUGAAGACAUGUUCACUCUCACACAGGUUAUCUGGAUGCUCAGUGGGAAUGGAGGGCAGCCCAAGAAGGUUCUGAGACCCAUGGAAGUUUGAUUAUAACACCAUAUUGUCAAUGUUCUGUAUUUUGUAUGAAAACAA
This 1306-nucleotide long non-coding RNA is filed under the name Capra hircus (goat). RNAcentral's name for it is "lncRNA (ENSCHIG00000005905.1)". Lineage: Eukaryota; Metazoa; Chordata; Mammalia; Artiodactyla; Bovidae. The record is from RNAcentral.